CCCCGGGCGGCGGCCCGAGCUGCUGCUGCGGCUCCCUGCCGGGCAGCCGCCCCUCUGCCUCUGUGGACGGGGUGAAAAGGGGGUGAUGAGUCAGACUGCUGCAGAAAGGAGGUGGAAAGAAGGAGGCAGGCGGCCUUGUUGCUCCCCCCUGCAAAGUGGUGGGACUGGGUUGAUGUGUCUGCUCUGCCGAACUUGCGAAGACAUUUUAAAUCUAAAAAUUGAAAAGCAUCGCCAUCCUGAAAGAACUCUGGUUGCAGAACUGCUUAUUCCUUCGUUACCAGAACUCAGCAUAGAUUUUCUCACUUACAGAUAGUCUUUUUGAAAAGACCCUGAAGAAACUUAACACACCAGCCUCUGGGGAACACCAUUUCCAAGAAAGUACCACACUACUUAAACCUUUUCUUGAUGGGCUUGGCGUUUGCUUGAUGUGUGAUAUCCUGGAAGCUUUUCCAAACCCUCGACGCGGAGGCAGUAGUGUGCACUUGCCUACAAGCAAAAUUACCCUGAAGAAGGUGAUGAGAUUGAUUUCCUUUCUGCAUCCAGAGAAGUGAGCUAUAAAGGAAGCUUCCAAGGUGAACAGAGGAGCGCCUCCCCGCGUGGCCUUCCGCGUUCUCUGCAGCCUGCCGGCGAGGACAGCGGCCUGGUACAAGAAUAUUAAGAGAGUCCCAAAGCUGGAGGUGAACUUCAUACCCGGCAGAGGGAAGGGGACCCCCAUAUCUGCAAAAACAAGAACAACUUUGCCACAAUUUUUUACCCUGUGUGCUAUCUCUAUGGAGACUAGCUCCACCCCUUUAACUCUUGAACAUUUACUAUAAAACUCCCUGCUUUCUCUCCCCAGAAGGCUCACAGUCUUAGAGGCAUUAGCCCACUCUGACCUCCUUUGCCUGGCAAAAAAGUAAAGCUACCUUUUCUACUUCAUUCA
Molecule: long non-coding RNA, 922 nt
Organism: Camelus dromedarius (Arabian camel)
Lineage: Eukaryota; Metazoa; Chordata; Mammalia; Artiodactyla; Camelidae
Exons: 3
Source: RefSeq, a predicted model, not a curated record